Molecule: ribosomal RNA, 2385 nt
Filed under: Escherichia coli
Lineage: Bacteria; Pseudomonadati; Pseudomonadota; Gammaproteobacteria; Enterobacterales; Enterobacteriaceae
Description: partial 23S ribosomal RNA
Rfam family: Bacterial large subunit ribosomal RNA
Source: RNAcentral
CUGAAACCGUGUACGUACAAGCAGUGGGAGCCUCUUAAUGGGGUGACUGCGUACCUUUUGUAUAAUGGGUCAGCGACUUAUAUUCUGUAGCAAGGUUAACCGAAUAGGGGAGCCGAAGGGAAACCGAGUCUUAACUGGGCGUUAAGUUGCAGGGUAUAGACCCGAAACCCGGUGAUCUAGCCAUGGGCAGGUUGAAGGUUGGGUAACACUAACUGGAGGACCGAACCGACUAAUGUUGAAAAAUUAGCGGAUGACUUGUGGCUGGGGGUGAAAGGCCAAUCAAACCGGGAGAUAGCUGGUUCUCCCCGAAAGCUAUUUAGGUAGCGCCUCGUGAAUUCAUCUCCGGGGGUAGAGCACUGUUUCGGCAAGGGGGUCAUCCCGACUUACCAACCCGAUGCAAACUGCGAAUACCGGAGAAUGUUAUCACGGGAGACACACGGCGGGUGCUAACGUCCGUCGUGAAGAGGGAAACAACCCAGACCGCCAGCUAAGGUCCCAAAGUCAUGGUUAAGUGGGAAACGAUGUGGGAAGGCCCAGACAGCCAGGAUGUUGGCUUAGAAGCAGCCAUCAUUUAAAGAAAGCGUAAUAGCUCACUGGUCGAGUCGGCCUGCGCGGAAGAUGUAACGGGGCUAAACCAUGCACCGAAGCUGCGGCAGCGACACUAUGUGUUGUUGGGUAGGGGAGCGUUCUGUAAGCCUGUGAAGGUGUACUGUGAGGUAUGCUGGAGGUAUCAGAAGUGCGAAUGCUGACAUAAGUAACGAUAAAGCGGGUGAAAAGCCCGCUCGCCGGAAGACCAAGGGUUCCUGUCCAACGUUAAUCGGGGCAGGGUGAGUCGACCCCUAAGGCGAGGCCGAAAGGCGUAGUCGAUGGGAAACAGGUUAAUAUUCCUGUACUUGGUGUUACUGCGAAGGGGGGACGGAGAAGGCUAUGUUGGCCGGGCGACGGUUGUCCCGGUUUAAGCGUGUAGGCUGGUUUUCCAGGCAAAUCCGGAAAAUCAAGGCUGAGGCGUGAUGACGAGGCACUACGGUGCUGAAGCAACAAAUGCCCUGCUUCCAGGAAAAGCCUCUAAGCAUCAGGUAACAUCAAAUCGUACCCCAAACCGACACAGGUGGUCAGGUAGAGAAUACCAAGGCGCUUGAGAGAACUCGGGUGAAGGAACUAGGCAAAAUGGUGCCGUAACUUCGGGAGAAGGCACGCUGAUAUGUAGGUGAAGUCCCUCGCGGAUGGAGCUGAAAUCAGUCGAAGAUACCAGCUGGCUGCAACUGUUUAUUAAAAACACAGCACUGUGCAAACACGAAAGUGGACGUAUACGGUGUGACGCCUGCCCGGUGCCGGAAGGUUAAUUGAUGGGGUUAGCGGUAACGCGAAGCUCUUGAUCGAAGCCCCGGUAAACGGCGGCCGUAACUAUAACGGUCCUAAGGUAGCGAAAUUCCUUGUCGGGUAAGUUCCGACCUGCACGAAUGGCGUAAUGAUGGCCAGGCUGUCUCCACCCGAGACUCAGUGAAAUUGAACUCGCUGUGAAGAUGCAGUGUACCCGCGGCAAGACGGAAAGACCCCGUGAACCUUUACUAUAGCUUGACACUGAACAUUGAGCCUUGAUGUGUAGGAUAGGUGGGAGGCUUUGAAGUGUGGACGCCAGUCUGCAUGGAGCCGGCCUUGAAAUACCACCCUUUAAUGUUUGAUGUUCUAACGUUGGCCCCUGACCGGGGUUGCGGACAGUGUCUGGUGGGUAGUUUGACUGGGGCGGUCUCCUCCUAAAGAGUAACGGAGGAGCACGAAGGUUGGCUAAUCCUGGUCGGACAUCAGGAGGUUAGUGCAAUGGCAUAAGCCAGCUUGACUGCGAGCGUGACGGCGCGAGCAGGUGCGAAAGCAGGUCAUAGUGAUCCGGUGGUUCUGAAUGGAAGGGCCAUCGCUCAACGGAUAAAAGGUACUCCGGGGAUAACAGGCUGAUACCGCCCAAGAGUUCAUAUCGACGGCGGUGUUUGGCACCUCGAUGUCGGCUCAUCACAUCCUGGGGCUGAAGUAGGUCCCAAGGGUAUGGCUGUUCGCCAUUUAAAGUGGUACGCGAGCUGGGUUUAGAACGUCGUGAGACAGUUCGGUCCCUAUCUGCCGUGGGCGCUGGAGAACUGAGGGGGGCUGCUCCUAGUACGAGAGGACCGGAGUGGACGCAUCACUGGUGUUCGGGUUGUCAUGCCAAUGGCACUGCCCGGUAGCUAAAUGCGGAAGAGAUAAGUGCUGAAAGCAUCUAAGCACGAAACUUGCCCCGAGAUGAGUUCUCCCUGACUCCUUGAGAGUCCUGAAGGAACGUUGAAGACGACGACGUUGAUAGGCCGGGUGUGUAAGCGCAGCGAUGCGUUGAGCUAACCGGUACUAAUGAACCGUGAG